UCAGAGGUGAUGAUGAUAUAGUGGUGGU
Molecule: non-coding RNA, 28 nt
Filed under: Mus musculus (house mouse)
Lineage: Eukaryota; Metazoa; Chordata; Mammalia; Rodentia; Muridae
Source: RNAcentral